This 76-nucleotide transfer RNA is filed under the name Nocardioides terrae. Its description in RNAcentral is "tRNA_Arg_CCT". It matches the Rfam family "tRNA". From Rfam's summary of the family: Transfer RNA (tRNA) molecules are approximately 80 nucleotides in length. Their secondary structure includes four short double-helical elements and three loops (D, anti-codon, and T loops). The record is from RNAcentral. Lineage: Bacteria; Bacillati; Actinomycetota; Actinomycetes; Propionibacteriales; Nocardioidaceae.
GCCCCUAUAGCUCAGAGGAUAGAGCGCCGGUUUCCUAAACCGGGCGUCGCAGGUUCGAUUCCUGCUAGGGGCACCA